UCUCUGUUUACUCAGUGGCCCUGCUUCUUGGGCCAAAAUUAACAGCAAAGGCCACAGUGAAAUGGUGAUUUGUGGACGAAUUUAGCCAAAAGAAACCGCUGGUCUCAUGUGUCUAUUUAGAGCAGACGUCUUGCGCUCUCAUCCAGGGCUGCAUGGGGCCCACACGUGGACCUGGUUUGACCCUUGUAUCAGGAGAAUUCUCUGCUGUUAUUAACUGCAAGAGAGGCCCCCAUGUGAAAACCUUGACCUCUGGCUGCCCUGCACUGCCCUGGGGAUGUGGGAACUCGGGCUGACAGACCUCCCGCACGGCUGAAGCUCUACUCUACAAUGUACAUUGAUGUCUAGGGACAGAUCUCUCUGCAUAUUAAUGCAUCCCUGGUGACUGUCUUUUUAAUGGAGGUGUUUAAAUACUGAAUGCCAUUAAUCUCUAGGUCAGGGACUGGGUCUCAUUAGUCCUCUGGAUGAGGGCUUCUAUUUAGAUCUAGAACUUUAACACGCACACACAAAAUUGUAGAACAUCUUUAAAACAUUUUCAAACAAAGCAAGAGAGAAUUUUCUAAGAAUACCUAGUGCUCCAAGUCAAGAGGACUGUAAGUUAAUAGAAAGUCUGCUUUGUUUUCACUUAGUUCGGAAUGAAGACCAACCACUUAAAUGCCUGCACAUCUUUCUGUGCCUUGUACUUAUCAACUUCGCAAAACAAAUAAAUGAAGUUUCGAAGGAGCCAAACCCAACACAAGCCCUGACUUCUGCUGAAAAAUAACUAAUAAAACAUAAACCAUGACAGCAAAUACCCUCGGCACUGGUUGACAUUUCCAGUUACAUUUUCUGGGGCCUAAAAUACAAGACAGGGAAUGAUCACUUUAUGGGACAAAUAUCACUGCAAAUGCCAU
This is a long non-coding RNA of Capra hircus (goat), 890 nucleotides long. RefSeq lists it as uncharacterized. The transcript is spliced from 2 exons. Lineage: Eukaryota; Metazoa; Chordata; Mammalia; Artiodactyla; Bovidae. The record is from RefSeq and is a predicted model, not a curated record.